AUUGAACGCUGGCGGCAGGCCUAACACAUGCAAGUCGAACGAGUGGCGGACGGGUGAGUAAUUUCUGGGAAACUGCCCGAUGGAGGGGGAUAACUACUGGAAACGGUAGCUAAUACCGCAUACCAUCGGAUGUGCCCAGAGGGGAUUAGCUAGUAGGUGGGGUAACGGCUCACCUAGGCGACGAGCCCUAGCUGGUCUGAGAGGAUGACCAGACACACUGGAACGGAGACACGGUCCAGACUCGUACGUGAGGCAGCAGUGGGGAAUAUUGCACAAUGGGCGAAAGCCUGAUGCAGCCAUGCCGCGUGUAUGAAGAAGGCCUUCGGGUUGUAAAGGACUUUCAGCUAGGAGGCGUUACUCGCAGAAGAAGCACCGGCUAACUCCGUGCCAGCAGCCGCGGUAAUUC
RNAcentral lists this ribosomal RNA (406 nucleotides) under uncultured bacterium. Its description in RNAcentral is "partial 16S ribosomal RNA". It matches the Rfam family "Bacterial small subunit ribosomal RNA", at positions 30 to 526 of the family's 1533-position model. The record is from RNAcentral.